UAGGGAAUAUUGCACAAUGGGCGAAAGCCUGAUGCAGCAACGCCGCGUGCGCGAUGAAGGCCUUCGGGUCGUAAAGCGCUUUUCGGGGAGAUGAGGAAGGACAGUAUCCCCGGAAUAAGGAUCGGCUAACUACGUGCCAGCAGCCGCGGUAAAACGUAGGAUCCGAGCGUUAUCCGAAUUCACUGGGCGUAAAGCGCGUGCAGGCGGUCCGGUAAGUUGGAUGUGAAAUCUCCUGGCUCAACUGGGAGAGGUCGUUCAAGACUGUCGGGCUAGAGGACGGUAGAGGAAGGUGGAAUUCCCGGUGUAGUGGUGAAAUGCGUAGAUAUCGGGAGGAACACCUGUGGCGAAAGCGGCCUUCUGGGCCGAUCCUGACGCUCAGACGCGAAAGCUAGGGGAGCAAACGGGAUUAGAAACCCCGGUAGUCCUAGCCGUAAACGAUGUAGACUAGGCGUGGGUGGGUAAAAGCCAUCCGUGCCGAAGCCAACGCGAUAAGUCUACCGCCUGGGGACUACGGCCG
This 517-nucleotide ribosomal RNA is filed under the name uncultured Chloroflexota bacterium. RNAcentral's name for it is "bacterial SSU rRNA". It matches the Rfam family "Bacterial small subunit ribosomal RNA", at positions 355 to 888 of the family's 1533-position model. The record is from RNAcentral. Lineage: Bacteria; Bacillati; Chloroflexota.